UACAGAGGUUGCGAGCGUUAAUCGGAAUUACUGGGCGUAAAGCGCGCGUAGGCGGCUUUGCAAGUCGGGUGUGAAAUCCCCAGGCUUAACCUGGGAACUGCAUUCGAGACUGCAUUGCUAGAGUAUGGGAGAGGGAAGUGGAAUUUCCGGUGUAGCGGUGAAAUGCGUAGAUAUCGGAAGGAACAUCAGUGGCGAAAGCGACUUCCUGGACCAAUACUGACGCUCAUGUGCGAAAGCGUGGGGAGCAAACAGG
This 253-nucleotide ribosomal RNA is filed under the name uncultured bacterium. RNAcentral describes it as "partial 16S ribosomal RNA". It matches the Rfam family "Bacterial small subunit ribosomal RNA", at positions 524 to 776 of the family's 1533-position model. The record is from RNAcentral.